UGGCGGACGGGUGAGUAACGCGUGGGAAUCUACCAUGGAGUGGGGAAUAACAGCUGGAAACGGCUGCUAAUACCGCAUACGCCCUACGGGGGAAAGAUUUAUCGCUCUGUGAUGAGCCCGCGUUAGAUUAGGUAGUUGGUGGGGUAACGGCCUGCCAAGCCAUCGAUCAGUAGCUGGUUUGAGAGGAUGAUCAGCCACAUUGGGACUGAGAUACGGCCCAGACUCCUACGGGAGGCAGCAGUGGGGAAUAUUGCACAAUGGGCGGAAGCCUGAUGCAGCAACGCCGCGUGCGGGAUGACGGCCUUCGGGUUGUAAACCGCUUUCGCCUGUGACGAAGCGUGAGUGACGGUAAUGGGUAAAGAAGCACCGGCUAACUCCGUGCCAGCAGCCGCGGUAAU
RNAcentral lists this ribosomal RNA (398 nucleotides) under uncultured bacterium. Its description in RNAcentral is "bacterial SSU rRNA". It matches the Rfam family "Bacterial small subunit ribosomal RNA", at positions 96 to 524 of the family's 1533-position model. The record is from RNAcentral.